UGUACCCCUCAUCCUCUGGUCAUGUGCCCGAGUUGGCAUGUUCUGCGCACAUCCCGUGUGUUCUCUAUCCCUGGAGUUAGCCCUGACCUUCUGCUUGCGAGGCAGGCGUGGCGCCACUGAGCUAAAUCCUCAGCCCCAUGCUAUUUCCAUUUUAUGUAGGAGAAAGUUGAAGUUCUGAAAGGACACAAAAGGAGAUCAACAUUAAAUUAGGAAAUAUCCAGAAAGAUCCAACUACUUGCUAAAAUAGCCAACAGAGGGAAAAGGAGGACGGGCCAGGAUUCCUGGAGGUCCCACCUUGAAGCUGAAGCAGAGCAAAGGUGAAAACAAGAAUCUUCGGAUUCCCUGGUCAGACACUGAAGGGCGCAUGUGCAUGCACCUCAGCACCAACUGGCAAAGAUCUGGUCUGUGGCCACAGAGUCCCUGGCAUGCCUGCAGGGGAAGGAAUAUCACCAUGGUCAAGACCAAAGUGAGAAGGACCACGGAGGGGGACACUAAACACCUGAAGACUUUGAAAUGGCACAGUGGGUGCAAGAGGAACAUCGUGCCACAAAAUGCCAUCAGAUUGUCCCAGGCAGUCUGGACCAUGACCUCCAUGAGAGCAGGAACUUGUUCCACCUUGUUCUCUGCUGAUGCUCAGUACCUAAAACAACUGAUACACUGCAGAAACUCACAAGUAUUUAUUCACUGAAAGAAAAAGCUGAAACGGGGCCAGGGAUUUAGCUCAGUGGUUUCACCGCCUGCUGCGCAAGCACAAGGACCUGAGUUCAAUCCCUGGUACCAAAAAAAAAAAAAAAAGAUUCAAAGAAAAAGCUGAAAAAAAU
Molecule: long non-coding RNA, 821 nt
Filed under: Heterocephalus glaber (naked mole-rat)
Lineage: Eukaryota; Metazoa; Chordata; Mammalia; Rodentia; Bathyergidae
Description: lncRNA (ENSHGLG00100044150.1)
Source: RNAcentral